Molecule: unclassified non-coding RNA, 25 nt
Filed under: Mus musculus (house mouse)
Lineage: Eukaryota; Metazoa; Chordata; Mammalia; Rodentia; Muridae
Description: oocyte_clustered_small_RNA8203
Source: RNAcentral
CUGUCUUGUAUUGAUGCUAUAUAGA